UGUGGCUGGGGGUGAAAGGCCAAUCAAACCGGGAGAUAGCUGGUUCUCCCCGAAAUCUAUUUAGGUAGAGCCUCGGACGAAUUCCUUUGGGGGUAGAGCACUGUUAAGGCUAGGGGGUCAUCCCGACUUACCAACCCUUUGCAAACUCCGAAUACCAAAGAGAACUAUCCGGGAGACACACGGCGGGUGCUAACGUCCGUCGUGAAGAGGGAAACAACCCAGACCGCCAGCUAAGGUCCCAAAAUAUUGCUAAGUGGGAAACGAUGUGGGAAGGCAUAGACAGCUAGGAGGUUGGCUUAGAAGCAGCCACCCUUUAAAGAAAGCGUAAUAGCUCACUAGUCGAGUCGGCCUGCGCGGAAGAUGUAACGGGGCUAAGCAAUAUACCGAAGCUGCGGCAGCAUAGUUUACUAUGCUGGGUAGGGGAGCGUUGUGUAAGUGGCUGAAGGUGAGUUGAGAAGCUUGCUGGACAUAUCACAAGUGCGAAUGCUGACAUGAGUAACGAUAAUGGG
RNAcentral lists this ribosomal RNA (509 nucleotides) under Vaucheria litorea. Its description in RNAcentral is "partial Bacterial large subunit ribosomal RNA". It matches the Rfam family "Bacterial large subunit ribosomal RNA", at positions 810 to 1319 of the family's 2925-position model. The record is from RNAcentral. Lineage: Eukaryota; Xanthophyceae; Vaucheriales; Vaucheriaceae.